Molecule: ribosomal RNA, 301 nt
Filed under: uncultured bacterium
Lineage: Bacteria
Description: partial 16S ribosomal RNA
Rfam family: Bacterial small subunit ribosomal RNA
Source: RNAcentral
CAGUCGCCACGGUAAUACGAAGGGUGCAAGCGUUACUCGGAAUUACUGGGCGUAAAGCGUGCGUAGGCGGUUUGUUAAGUCCGUUGUGAAAGCCCUGGGCUCAACCUGGGAAUUGCAGUGGAUACUGGCAAGCUGGAGUACGGUAGAGGAUGGUGGAAUUCCCGGUGUAGCGGUGAAAUGCGUAGAGAUCGGGAGGAACACCCGUGGCGAAGGCGGCCAUCUGGACCAGUACUGACGCUGAGGCGCGAAAGCGUGGGGAGCAAACAGGAUUAGAUACCCCAGUAGUCCCUGUCUCUUAUAC